Molecule: transfer RNA, 67 nt
Filed under: Cyrtodactylus limajalur
Lineage: Eukaryota; Metazoa; Chordata; Lepidosauria; Squamata; Gekkonidae
Description: tRNA-Trp
Source: RNAcentral
AAGCUUAGGUUAAAUAAACCAGGGGCCUUCAAAGCCUCAAACAAGAGCCCUAGCCCUCCUAGCUUCU